This 909-nucleotide ribosomal RNA is filed under the name Centropages violaceus. RNAcentral's name for it is "bacterial SSU rRNA". It matches the Rfam family "Eukaryotic small subunit ribosomal RNA", at positions 81 to 989 of the family's 1831-position model. Lineage: Eukaryota; Metazoa; Arthropoda; Copepoda; Calanoida; Centropagidae. The record is from RNAcentral.
GUGAAACCGCGAAUGGCUCAUUAAAUCACACCUAAUCUACUGGAUUGUUAAACAGUUACUUGGAUAACUGAGGUAAUUCUUGAGCUAAUACAUGCGAAAAACCCCGACUUUACGAAGGGGUGCUUUUAUUAGAUCAAAACCAAACAUCGUAAGAUGUAAAUUUGGUGACUCUGGAUAACUUUGGCUGAUCGCAUUGCCUUGUGCAGGCGACAUUUCCUUCGAAGGUGUGCCCUAUCAACUGUCGACUGUGAUAUAGACGCUCACAGUGGUUUUGACGGGUAACGGGGAAUCAGGGUUCGAUUCCGGAGAGGGAGCCUUAAAAACGGCUACCACAUCCAAGGAAGGCAGCAGGCACGCAAAUUACCCAAUGAACGCAGUUCGAGGUAGUGACGAAAAAUAACAAUACCAGACUCUUCCGAGGCCUGGUAAUUGGAAUGAGUACACUUUAAAACCGUUCCCGAGGAUCUAUUGGAGGGCAAGUCUGGUGCCAGCAGCCGCGGUAAUUCCAGCUCCAAUAGCGUAUAUUAAUGUUGUUGUGGUUAAAAAGCUCGUAGUUGGAUUUCGGCGGAUAUUGGCCGGUUUGAAUUGUUUCAAUACUGGUUAUAUUGUCCGUGUAUAUUGCCAGAAUUCAACGGGUGAACUUCGCCGUUUGUCCGUUUGGAGCUGGCAGGUUUACUUUGAAAAAAUUAGAGUGCUCAAAGCAAGCUUUUAUGCUUGAAUAUUCGUGCAUGGAAUAAUAGAAUAGGAAGUCGUUUCUAUUUUGUUGGUUUUCAGAAUCGACUUAAUGAUUAAUAGGGAUAGUCGGGGGCAUUUGUAUUCAAACGACAGAGGUGAAAUUCUUGGACCGUUUGAAGACAAACUACUGCGAAAGCAUUUGCCAAGAAUGUUUUCAUUAAUCAAGAACGAAAG